This is a long non-coding RNA of Daphnia pulex (common water flea), 537 nucleotides long. RefSeq lists it as uncharacterized. NCBI's taxonomy places the organism in Eukaryota, Metazoa, Arthropoda, Branchiopoda, Diplostraca, Daphniidae. The transcript is spliced from 4 exons. The record is from RefSeq and is a predicted model, not a curated record.
GUGCAUGAAGUUUCGGAUCUGCUCACAAAAUUUGUUUAAGUGUAUUCAAAUUUUUCGUUAUCUGUCAACAGAAACAUAGUGUCGCAUUGUUUAAAGUUUUUGCGUCGACGGAACUGGUUACAGAAGUCCUUACUUGAUACUUCACACCUUCGUAGUCUGUGCAUGUGCUUCGAUGUGCUUCCAUAACGGACAUAAUCCAGGUGACGCUCAGCAAACAGUCCAGAUUAAACGGUUUCGUCGGUGGAAAGACCUUGCUGAUUGGGACGGAGAAAAUGUCUGGCCAUGUCUACGACCCCCUUUCCUGGUGUGUGGAUGGGAACGACGACACUUGGGGCAGCAGCCAGCAGCUUCCUGGAUUGGAUUGACGGAGUAAACCAAAAAUUCCAUCCGGAUGAAAACUGCCAUUCAUGCAUCGCGAUGAACCAUGACCACCCCAAGCGCUCGAUGAGACGUGGGGACCUUCUUUUCUUUUUGAGAGUUCAACCUGCAGACGGGCCGGCCAGUUUGCAUGUCCUUCACGCUUGAAGGUCGCGGGGA